UACGUAGGUGGCAAGCGUUGUCCGGAUUUACUGGGCGUAAAGGGUGCGUAGGCGGACCUUUAAGUGAGAUGUGAAAUCCCCGAGCUUAACUUGGGGGCUGCAUUUCAAACUGGAGGUCUAGAGUGCAGGAGAGGAGAGUGGAAUUCCUAGUGUAGCGGUGAAAUGCGUAGAGAUUAGGAAGAACACCAGUGGCGAAGGCGACUCUCUGGACUGUAACUGACGCUGAGGCACGAAAGCGUGGGGAGCAAACAGG
Molecule: ribosomal RNA, 253 nt
Filed under: uncultured Clostridium sp.
Lineage: Bacteria; Bacillati; Bacillota; Clostridia; Eubacteriales; Clostridiaceae
Also listed under: 2 other names
Description: partial 16S ribosomal RNA
Rfam family: Bacterial small subunit ribosomal RNA
Source: RNAcentral